Molecule: ribosomal RNA, 408 nt
Filed under: uncultured bacterium
Lineage: Bacteria
Description: partial 16S ribosomal RNA
Rfam family: Bacterial small subunit ribosomal RNA
Source: RNAcentral
GACGAACGCUGGCGGCGUGCUUAACACAUGCAAGUCGAACGAAGUGGCGAACGGGUGAGUAACGCGUAAUCAACCUGCCCUUCAGAGGGGGACAACAGUUGGAAACGACUGCUAAUACCGCAUACUGAAGGAGGGGAUUGCGUGUGAUUAGCUAGUUGGAGGGGUAACGGCCCACCAAGGGCAUGAUCAGUAGCCCGUCUGAGAGGGUGAACGGCCACAAUGGUGCUGGGACACGGCCCAGGCUCCUACGGUAGGCAGCAGUGGGGAUUCUUCCGAAAUGGACGAAAGUCUGACGGAGCUACGCCGCGUGAGUGAUGACGGCCUUCGGGUUGUAAAGCUCUGUUAAUCGGGACGCGGUACCGGAAUAGAAAGCCACGGCUAACUACGUGCCAGCAGCCGCGGUAAUUC